AUUGAACGCUGGCGGCAGGCCUAACACAUGCAAGUCGAACGGUAACAGGAAGCAGCUUGCUGCUUCGCUGACGAGUGGCGGACGGGUGAGUAAUGUCUGGGAAGCUGCCUGAUGGAGGGGGAUAACUACUGGAAACGGUAGCUAAUACCGCAUAAUGUCGCAAGACCAAAGAGGGGGACCUUCGGGCCUCUUGCCAUCGGAUGUGCCCAGAUGGGAUUAGCUUGUUGGUGGGGUAACGGCUCACCAAGGCGACGAUCCCUAGCUGGUCUGAGAGGAUGACCAGGCACACUGGAACUGAGACACGGUCCAGACUCCUACGGGAGGCAGCAGUUGGGAAUAUUGCACAAUGGGCGCAAGCCUGAUGCAGCCAUGCCGCGUGUAUGAAGAAGGCCUUCGGGUUGGAAAGUACUUUCAGCGGGGAGGAAGGGAGUAAAGUUAAUACCUUUGCUCAUUGACGUUACCCGCAGAAGAAGCACCGGCUAACUCCGUG
This 490-nucleotide ribosomal RNA is filed under the name uncultured bacterium. Its description in RNAcentral is "partial 16S ribosomal RNA". It matches the Rfam family "Bacterial small subunit ribosomal RNA", at positions 30 to 507 of the family's 1533-position model. The record is from RNAcentral.